UAAAACUUUUCAGCUAGAGUAUGAUAGAGGAAAGCAGAAUUUCUAGUGUAGAGGUGAAAUUCGUAGAUAUUAGAAAGAAUACCAAUUGCGAAGGCAGCUUUCUGGAUCAUUACUGACACUGAGGAACGAAAGCAUGGGUAGCGAAGAGGAUUAGAUACCCUCGUAGUCCAUGCCGUAAACGAUGUGUGUUAGACGUUGGAAAUUUAUUUUCAGUGUCGCAGGGAAACCGAUAAACACACCGCCUGGGGAGUACGACCGCAAGGUUAAAACUCAAAUGAAUUGACGGGGACCCGCACAAGUAGUGGAGCAUGUGGUUUAAUUCGAAGAUACGCGCAGAACCUUACCAACACUUGACAUGUUCGUCGCGACUCUAAGAGAUUAGAGUUUUCGGUUCGGCCGGACGAAACACAGGUGCUGCAUGGCUGUCGUCAGCUCGUGUCGUGAGAUGUUGGGUUAAGUCCCGCAACGAGCGCAACCCUCACUUUUAGUUGCCAUCAUUAAGUUGGGCACUCUGAAAGAACUGCCAGUGAUAAGCUGGAGGAAGGUGGGGAUGACGUCAAGUCCUCAUGGCCCUUACGUGUUGGGCUACACACGUGCUACAAUGGUAUCUACAACAGGAAGCAAGACUGCGAAGUUAAGCAAAUCCCUAAAAGAUACCUCAGUUCGGAUUGCACUCUGCAACUCGAGUGCAUGAAGCUGGAAUUACUAGUAAUCGUGGAUCAGCGUGCCACGGUGAAUGCGUUCCCGGGUCUUGUACACACCGCCCGUCACACCAUGGGAGUUGGUUCUACCUUAAGGCAAGGUUUCAAACCCUUGACCACGGUAUAGUCAGCGACUGGGGUGAAGUCGU
Molecule: ribosomal RNA, 850 nt
Filed under: marine metagenome
Description: bacterial SSU rRNA
Rfam family: Bacterial small subunit ribosomal RNA
Source: RNAcentral